Humulus lupulus (European hop) is the source of this 247-nucleotide long non-coding RNA. RefSeq lists it as uncharacterized. The transcript has 3 exons. The record is from RefSeq and is a predicted model, not a curated record. Lineage: Eukaryota; Viridiplantae; Streptophyta; Magnoliopsida; Rosales; Cannabaceae.
UGGUGCUUGCUUAAAGUUCUUCAAUCGUCUUUUCCCUCAACCCUAAUAUGAUUUCCAUAUUCUACCUAUUCCAUACAUACAUAUAUUUUGCGCUCAAAAAUCUUCAAAAGUUUCGGUGAUGGGCAAGCCAAGUUCAUGGUCAGAUUCGUCGACCAAGGCCGAUCGCAAGUUUGAAAAGAAGCUCGAGUUUUAUUCCAAGGUUAGAGAUACUGUUGCCACCUUGACUGCCCAAAAGACUAUUGCCAAG